RNAcentral lists this long non-coding RNA (816 nucleotides) under Olea europaea subsp. europaea. The record is from RNAcentral. Lineage: Eukaryota; Viridiplantae; Streptophyta; Magnoliopsida; Lamiales; Oleaceae.
AACAGGCUCUAUAUAUAAUUUGUAUCGUAUGUAUACUUAAGUGUCGCCCCCAGGGCACAUCUCCAAGUGGUAAAAUGGGAGGGUGGAGAAAUCCAACUUUGUUUGAGACUGCUGCGUCAAGGGUUCGAAUCCUGAAAUAUGAAUUUGGCUCUUGGGUAAGUGCAAGUGUACAAACAGCCUUCUAUCCUGUACCCUUGGAGGCAUAAUCUGCGAUUUACCUCCCUCACGAUGCUCCAAGGCAGGGGUCGUAGGGGACCCUUAAGGUUAGGGUUUAACUUUUUUUAGUUAGAAAUAGUAGAAAAGAACAUCAGCAACAUAAUCUUAUAUAUCUAAUAUCUUAAAAAUGUUUUUGCUAUAUAGCAGCAAUGUGUACACCAAUAUAUGUAGCAGUAGGGCCUUCCAGCAUGAGUCCGGAAAUUACUUUAAAAUAAUCUGAACAGCAUAGGAUUGGAUAUAAAAAUUUGUGGUGCUGAUAAAGAGAUUACUCUACCACCACAACUAAAGGCAGCGGUUGCAAAUGAUUUCAGAGUGGAGGUACAACUUUACUACUCAAGGAUAAGGGAAUAUUUCAGGAGGCGUUAGAUAAAUUAUUUAUGAAGAUUACAUGGAUGCUAUGAGCUUUAUAAUUACUUUCCUUCUAGUAACGAGUUUGAAAGUGAUUAAGACAAGAGAGCCAUGACAAUCUGCAUGUGGCGGUGACGACAAGUAUAACUAGGAUGCGUGAAAUGUAAAUCUUUAACUUUUCAGUAUACGCCUGUGUUUAGACGGAAAAUUUUACAUUUAAUUUUAUUGCGAUAUGUUUUAUUUUUAUCUAAG